CAGCGGGUAUUGGAGUCUCUGAGUAGGCUCAUAUGUUAAUUCUUGAUUGUUUUAUAUAGCUGAACUUUAAGGAAGGUUGUACCUAAACUUCAUCAUAUUUCUUUUUAUUGUGUUGAUUAUUUGCACUUGUAAGAAUCUGUAGGCCUUGCUGUCUUUUGAGUGUAUGGGCCACUUUUGUUUUUAUAUUUUUGGAAAUCAGGAUUUAUUGUUUUGUAUUGGGCAACAUCCUCUAUUUGAUGGAUCUUAAUUCAAUUUACCUUAUUUUUUUUCUAAACAAGUCCUGCUAUUGAAGGUAAACAUGGAUGAAUGUUAUCAUAAGAAAUAGAAUGGAUCAAUAUUUUUCCAUGGGAUAUAGAUAUGUUUAAAGAAAUGAAUAUCAGCAUGUUAACAAGCAUUGUUUACCGACUGAGGUAUAGCAUGGUUGCUCUAUAUUUUCUUUGGACUACAAAGGGGGAAAAAAGCUAGCAAUGAAGUAUAAAGCAAAUGGUACAAACUUUUAUUGUUCUUCUU
This 510-nucleotide long non-coding RNA is filed under the name Actinidia chinensis (golden kiwifruit). Its description in RNAcentral is "long non-coding RNA (ACHI_LNC002780)". The record is from RNAcentral. Lineage: Eukaryota; Viridiplantae; Streptophyta; Magnoliopsida; Ericales; Actinidiaceae.